GACGUAGGGCGCGAGCGUUGUCCGGAUUUAUUGGGCGUAAAGAGCUCGUAGGCGGCUUGUCGCGUCGACCGUGAAAACUUGGGGCUCAACCCCAAGCCUGCGGCCGAUACGGGCAGGCUCGAGUUCGGUAGGGGAGACUGGAAUUCCUGGUGUAGCGGUGAAAUGCGCAGAUAUCAGGAGGAACACCGGUGGCGAAGGCGGGUCUCUGGGCCGAUACUGACGCUGAGGAGCGAAAGCGUGGGGAGCGAACAGG
RNAcentral lists this ribosomal RNA (253 nucleotides) under uncultured bacterium. Its description in RNAcentral is "partial 16S ribosomal RNA". It matches the Rfam family "Bacterial small subunit ribosomal RNA", at positions 524 to 776 of the family's 1533-position model. The record is from RNAcentral.